RNAcentral lists this unclassified non-coding RNA (243 nucleotides) under Hevea brasiliensis (rubber tree). Lineage: Eukaryota; Viridiplantae; Streptophyta; Magnoliopsida; Malpighiales; Euphorbiaceae. The record is from RNAcentral.
CAAGAUAUAUAGGAUAAAAUGUGGGAAAUGUUGCGUUUUGCUGAGGAAAAAGAUUGAUAUUUUCAUCGAACAAGCAGACUGAAAGAGAACUGCUUGAUGAGCCUCGUGGGCUGUGUUAAAGCUUAAUGAAAAUAUCUGAUGCUUAAUGAUUAAAAUUUGUUGGUUACACUUAUCAAAAUUUCUUGAUUCUUACAGCAACGAAGACCAGUUGCAUUGCUACAGCUCAAAUGGGCAUGUUGAAUG